This 719-nucleotide ribosomal RNA is filed under the name Candidatus Phytoplasma pyri. RNAcentral describes it as "bacterial SSU rRNA". It matches the Rfam family "Bacterial small subunit ribosomal RNA", at positions 356 to 1085 of the family's 1533-position model. Lineage: Bacteria; Bacillati; Mycoplasmatota; Mollicutes; Acholeplasmatales; Acholeplasmataceae. The record is from RNAcentral.
AAGGAAUUUUCGGCAAUGGAGGAAACUCUGACCGAGCAACGCCGCGUGAACGAUGAAGUAUUUAGGUAUGUAAAGUUCUUUUAUUAAAGAAGAAAAAAUGAUGGAAAAAUCAUUCUGACGGUAUUUAAUGAAUAAGCCCCGGCUAACUAUGUGCCAGCAGCUGCGGUAAUACAUGGGGGGCAAGCGUUAUCCGGAUUUAUUGGGCGUAAAGGGUGCGUAGGCGGUUUAAUAAGUCUAUGGUCUAAGUUCAACGCUUAACGUUGUGAUGCUAUAGAAACUGUUUGACUAGAGUUGGAUAGAGGCAAGUGGAAUUCCAUGUGUAGCGGUAAAAUGCGUAAAGAUAUGGAGGAACACCAGUAGCGAAGGCGGCUUGCUGGGUCUUAACUGACGCUGAGGCACGAAAGCGUGGGGAGCAAACAGGAUUAGAUACCCUGGUAGUCCACGCCGUAAACGAUGAGUACUAAGUGUUGGGUUAAACCAGUGCUGAAGUUAACGCAUUAAGUACUCCGCCUGAGUAGUACGUACGCAAGUAUGAAACUUAAAGGAAUUGACGGGACUCCGCACAAGCGGUGGAUCAUGUUGUUUAAUUCGAAGAUACACGAAAAACCUUACCAGGUCUUGACAUACUCUGCAAAGCUAUAGAAAUAUAGUGGAGGUUAUCAGGGAUACAGGUGGUGCAUGGUUGUCGUCAGCUCGUGUCGUGAGAUGUUGGGUUAAGU